GGGGAUGAUCGGCCUCGACAGGAAUUUUGACUAAAAUAUGCAAACCGAGCCGCUAAAAUCUCGUUAAACUUUUGGCAAACAAAUAAGUGCAAAAACUUAUUUACCAACUCCCGCUUUAGCAUACGCUUAAACGGGGCGUCCGCUCCGCCGAUUCCCGAUAAGCGGGAACGGAUGUCAUUCAUCGGGAUAGGCGAUUUUAUUUGAUUCGGGGAAAAUUGCCGAAAAUCAACCGCAUCAAAGUUAAAAAGAUUUUGUCCGGUUUUUACUUUUUAACUUAUUAAAAUCGGAACAAGUUUGUAGAAUUAUUUUAGGAUGAUUUUUGCACGCGGGUUCGAUUCCCGCCAUCUCCACA
Molecule: transfer-messenger RNA, 352 nt
Filed under: marine eukaryotic metagenome
Rfam family: transfer-messenger RNA
About the family: Bacterial tmRNA, also known as 10Sa RNA or SsrA, is named for its dual tRNA and mRNA-like properties. Its role is to liberate the mRNA from a stalled ribosome.
Source: RNAcentral